UACCAGCGCCGGAGGCAAGGAGAUUGCAAAUGGAAAUCAAUAAUGGAAAGGCCCCUGCCAUAUCUGCUAGCCAUAGCCAAAGCCAUAUAGCCUAUAUUAUGGGCCACUCUCUUACACUUGUUGUGUUCUGUUUUGUUGUUUCUCUGCUCUUCGCUGCGCUGCUCUGCUCUGCUCUGCUUUUCCUUGGCUCGAAUUCAGCUUUUUGCAUAACAGAUAUAACAAACAAACAAACAAACAAACACAUGCAUUAUUAAUUUCGCCUUUUGUUUUCCACUUGCAGUAUUCUUUGGCUGGAAUUCAGAUAUAGCCGGGGAUCGGAAUCGGGAUUGGAAUCAGAAUUGGAAACGGAAUUAAAAUCAUAUAUAUUCGGAUCAAAAAUCGCGCGAGGCAAGUGACUUUAAACGCAGAAAUCAUUGUUCAAUGACAGCAGUCGCGGCAGUUUUUACCGCUGUUGCUACUGCAUCUGCUGCUGGUCACGCCCCUUCCGAAUCCGCCCCCAAAGACGACCCCAUUGCCUCGGAUAAAGCCAAAGUGCACAGUUAACAAAGCCCCAAAGCAACCGAAACUGAAAGAUUUAGUUGUGGUCCUGGUCACAAGUGACUUCAUUGUGAAUAAGCAGAGAACGCAGGACGUAUUUAAAAUAUGCUGGAUAACUUCUCGCAGUGCACUUAAAGAUGCAUACGUGUGUGCGUGGUUGGUAUCAAAUAACGAACAGCAUCCACAACAACCAGCACUCGUUGGCAGGAUGUGCGAAACGGAGUGAUGAUGAGGCAAUUUGUUUAGGCCAGUUAUGCAUCAUUUGGGCGACAGGGCAGUUCAGUACAGAGCAUGGCAAUGGUAAUCGGUGUAUGGUGUCCGAUGUUGAAAGGAUUGUGGAUUGUGGAUUGCGGAUUGAGGACGAAGGACGAUGGGCUUAGCUUUUUUCUGUUUCGCUGGCGGCGGCAAAUGCAACUCACGGAAAGCAUUCAAAAGCAAUUAAGCGCUUUCUUCACAGCCCAGAGAGCGCGACAGAGACGGCCUUAGAUGGUGGAAAAGAGAAGGGCGCACACAUGAGUUGAAAAUGUAAUAUCAUCAAUCAAAAACAAAAAAAAAAAAUGAAGGAACACAAAAAUACAGAGACAGCAGAAAAAAUUAAGGAGGGAGAGUGCCAAAGAAAAGCCAUGCCCAAGCUUAAAACUGGAAAUUCUCUUUUACACCGAAAGAGUUAAUGAUCUGGGAAAUAUCUACGAUGAAAGCUGAUUUGGAAGGU
This 1249-nucleotide long non-coding RNA is filed under the name Drosophila melanogaster (fruit fly). Its description in RNAcentral is "antisense RNA:CR44894 (Dmel_CR44894)". The record is from RNAcentral. Lineage: Eukaryota; Metazoa; Arthropoda; Insecta; Diptera; Drosophilidae.